This 388-nucleotide ribosomal RNA is filed under the name uncultured bacterium. RNAcentral's name for it is "bacterial SSU rRNA". It matches the Rfam family "Bacterial small subunit ribosomal RNA", at positions 28 to 419 of the family's 1533-position model. The record is from RNAcentral.
GACGAACGCUGGCGGCGUGCUUAACACAUGCAAGUCGAGCGGUAAGGCCCUUUCGGGGGUACACGAGCGGCGAACGGGUGAGUAACACGUGGGUGACCUGCCCUCAGCUCUGGGAUAAGCCCGGGAAACUGGGUCUAAUACUGGAUAUGACUCCAUGACGCAUGUUGUGGGUGGAAAGCCUUGUGCGGCUGAGGAUGGGCCCGCGGCCUAUCAGCUUGUUGGUGGGGGAUGGCCUACCAAGGCGACGACGGGUAGCCGGCCUGAGAGGGCGACGGCCACACUGGGACUGAGACACGGCCCAGACUCCGUACGGGAGGCAGCAGUGGGGAAUCUUGCGCAAUGGGCGAAAGCCUGACGCAGCGACGCCGCGUGAGGGAUGACGGCCUGG